GCGGGCCGGCGAGGCCGCGCCGCGCUUCGGCUUCGAGACGGUCGAGCGGCAGGCCGAGGCGCUGGCGCAGGCGCCGUUCGACGCGACGGUGCCGCC
RNAcentral lists this transfer RNA (96 nucleotides) under Methylobacterium haplocladii. RNAcentral describes it as "tRNA-Leu". Lineage: Bacteria; Pseudomonadati; Pseudomonadota; Alphaproteobacteria; Hyphomicrobiales; Methylobacteriaceae. The record is from RNAcentral.